Molecule: ribosomal RNA, 2929 nt
Filed under: Bacillus thuringiensis
Lineage: Bacteria; Bacillati; Bacillota; Bacilli; Caryophanales; Bacillaceae
Description: 23S ribosomal RNA
Rfam family: Bacterial large subunit ribosomal RNA
Source: RNAcentral
UUUGGUUAAGUUAGAAAGGGCGCACGGUGGAUGCCUUGACACUAGGAGUCGAUGAAGGACGGGACUAACGCCGAUAUGCUUCGGGGAGCUGUAAGUAAGCUUUGAUCCGAAGAUUUCCGAAUGGGGAAACCCACCAUACGUAAUGGUAUGGUAUCCUUAUCUGAAUACAUAGGGUAAGGAAGACAGACCCAGGGAACUGAAACAUCUAAGUACCUGGAGGAAGAGAAAGCAAAUGCGAUUUCCUGAGUAGCAUGAGCGAAACGGAACAUAGCCCAAACCAAGAGGCUUGCCUCUUGGGGUUGUAGGACAUUCUAUACGGAGUUACAAAGGAACGAGGUAGACGAAGCGACCUGGAAAGGUCCGUCGUAGAGGGUAACAACCCCGUAGUCGAAACUUCGUUCUCUCUUGAAUGUAUCCUGAGUACGGCGGAACACGUGAAAUUCCGUCGGAAUCUGGGAGGACCAUCUCCCAAGGCUAAAUACUCCCUAGUGAUCGAUAGUGAACCAGUACCGUGAGGGAAAGGUGAAAAGCACCCCGGAAGGGGAGUGAAAGAGAUCCUGAAACCGUGUGCCUACAAAUAGUCAGAGCCCGUUAACGGGUGAUGGCGUGCCUUUGUAGAAUGAACCGGCGAGUUACGAUCCCGUGCGAGGUUAAGCUGAAGAGGCGGAGCCGCAGCGAAAGCGAGUCUGAAUAGGGCGUUUAGUACGUGGUCGUAGACCCGAAACCAGGUGAUCUACCCAUGUCCAGGGUGAAGUUCAGGUAACACUGAAUGGAGGCCCGAACCCACGCACGUUGAAAAGUGCGGGGAUGAGGUGUGGGUAGCGGAGAAAUUCCAAUCGAACCUGGAGAUAGCUGGUUCUCCCCGAAAUAGCUUUAGGGCUAGCCUUAAGUGUAAGAGUCUUGGAGGUAGAGCACUGAUUGGACUAGGGGUCCUCAUCGGAUUACCGAAUUCAGUCAAACUCCGAAUGCCAAUGACUUAUCCUUAGGAGUCAGACUGCGAGUGAUAAGAUCCGUAGUCAAAAGGGAAACAGCCCAGACCGCCAGCUAAGGUCCCAAAGUGUGUAUUAAGUGGAAAAGGAUGUGGAGUUGCUUAGACAACUAGGAUGUUGGCUUAGAAGCAGCCACCAUUUAAAGAGUGCGUAAUAGCUCACUAGUCGAGUGACUCUGCGCCGAAAAUGUACCGGGGCUAAAUACACCACCGAAGCUGCGGAUUGAUACCAAUGGUAUCAGUGGUAGGGGAGCGUUCUAAGGACAGUGAAGUCAGACCGGAAGGACUGGUGGAGUGCUUAGAAGUGAGAAUGCCGGUAUGAGUAGCGAAAGACGGGUGAGAAUCCCGUCCACCGAAUGCCUAAGGUUUCCUGAGGAAGGCUCGUCCGCUCAGGGUUAGUCAGGACCUAAGCCGAGGCCGACAGGCGUAGGCGAUGGACAACAGGUUGAUAUUCCUGUACCACCUCUUUAUCGUUUGAGCAAUGGAGGGACGCAGAAGGAUAGAAGAAGCGUGCGAUUGGUUGUGCACGUCCAAGCAGUUAGGCUGAUAAGUAGGCAAAUCCGCUUAUCGUAAAGGCUGAGCUGUGAUGGGGAAGCUCCUUAUGGAGCGAAGUCUUUGAUUCCCCGCUGCCAAGAAAAGCUUCUAGCGAGAUAAAAGGUGCCUGUACCGCAAACCGACACAGGUAGGCGAGGAGAGAAUCCUAAGGUGUGCGAGAGAACUCUGGUUAAGGAACUCGGCAAAAUGACCCCGUAACUUCGGGAGAAGGGGUGCUUUCUUAACGGAAAGCCGCAGUGAAUAGGCCCAAGCGACUGUUUAGCAAAAACACAGCUCUCUGCGAAGCCGUAAGGCGAAGUAUAGGGGGUGACACCUGCCCGGUGCUGGAAGGUUAAGGAGAGGGGUUAGCGUAAGCGAAGCUCUGAACUGAAGCCCCAGUAAACGGCGGCCGUAACUAUAACGGUCCUAAGGUAGCGAAAUUCCUUGUCGGGUAAGUUCCGACCCGCACGAAAGGUGUAACGAUUUGGGCACUGUCUCAACCAGAGACUCGGUGAAAUUAUAGUACCUGUGAAGAUGCAGGUUACCCGCGACAGGACGGAAAGACCCCGUGGAGCUUUACUGUAGCCUGAUAUUGAAUUUUGGUACAGUUUGUACAGGAUAGGCGGGAGCCAUUGAAACCGGAGCGCUAGCUUCGGUGGAGGCGCUGGUGGGAUACCGCCCUGACUGUAUUGAAAUUCUAACCUACGGGUCUUAUCGACCCGGGAGACAGUGUCAGGUGGGCAGUUUGACUGGGGCGGUCGCCUCCUAAAGUGUAACGGAGGCGCCCAAAGGUUCCCUCAGAAUGGUUGGAAAUCAUUCGUAGAGUGCAAAGGCAUAAGGGAGCUUGACUGCGAGACCUACAAGUCGAGCAGGGACGAAAGUCGGGCUUAGUGAUCCGGUGGUUCCGCAUGGAAGGGCCAUCGCUCAACGGAUAAAAGCUACCCCGGGGAUAACAGGCUUAUCUCCCCCAAGAGUCCACAUCGACGGGGAGGUUUGGCACCUCGAUGUCGGCUCAUCGCAUCCUGGGGCUGUAGUCGGUCCCAAGGGUUGGGCUGUUCGCCCAUUAAAGCGGUACGCGAGCUGGGUUCAGAACGUCGUGAGACAGUUCGGUCCCUAUCCGUCGUGGGCGUAGGAAAUUUGAGAGGAGCUGUCCUUAGUACGAGAGGACCGGGAUGGACGCACCGCUGGUGUACCAGUUGUUCUGCCAAGGGCAUAGCUGGGUAGCUAUGUGCGGAAGGGAUAAGUGCUGAAAGCAUCUAAGCAUGAAGCCCCCCCCUCAAGAUGAGAUUUCCCAUAGCGUAAGCUAGUAAGAUCCCUGAAAGAUGAUCAGGUUGAUAGGUUCGAGGUGGAAGCAUGGUGACAUGUGGAGCUGACGAAUACUAAUAGAUCGAGGACUUAACCAUAUAA